CGGACGGGUGAGUAACACGUGGAUAACCUACCUAUAAGACUGGGAUAACUUCGGGAAACCGGAGCUAAUACCGGAUAAUAUAUUGAACCGCAUGGUUCAAUAGUGAAAGACGGUUUUGCUGUCACUUAUAGAUGGAUCCGCGCCGCAUUAGCUAGUUGGUAAGGUAACGGCUUACCAAGGCAACGAUGCGUAGCCGACCUGAGAGGGUCAUCGGCCACACUGGAACUGAGACACGGUCCAGACUCCUACGGGAGGCAGCAGCG
RNAcentral lists this ribosomal RNA (263 nucleotides) under uncultured Staphylococcus sp. RNAcentral's name for it is "partial 16S ribosomal RNA". It matches the Rfam family "Bacterial small subunit ribosomal RNA", at positions 99 to 356 of the family's 1533-position model. The record is from RNAcentral. Lineage: Bacteria; Bacillati; Bacillota; Bacilli; Caryophanales; Staphylococcaceae.